RNAcentral lists this long non-coding RNA (410 nucleotides) under Glycine max (soybean). RNAcentral describes it as "long non-coding RNA (GMAX_LNC001603)". The record is from RNAcentral. Lineage: Eukaryota; Viridiplantae; Streptophyta; Magnoliopsida; Fabales; Fabaceae.
AGCGAGGAGGCCGUGGAGGGCGGAGGAGCGGCGGUGGACCCGGGCGGCGGAGGGCUGUAGUAGUAGAACGGGAAAUACGGCACAAUCGGGUUCGGCGGUGGUGGUCUCGGGUAGUUUCCGUUGCUGGGAGGAGGGUAGUAGUAGAUUCCUCCGCCACCACCGCCGCCGGUGGAUGCGGGAGGAGGUGGUGAGGAGUAGGUAUAUUGAGAGGGUGGAGGCGGGGAGUAGUAGUACGGAGCUCCUCCGCCGCCGCCGCCGGAGGAAGGAGGAGAGGGUGGUGGAGGACAGUUGUUUGUGGAAGGAGAUGGUGGUGGUGGUGAAGGUGGUGGCGGAGAUGGAACUUGGUUGCAAGGGUUGUUACAAGAGGAACACAUUGUGCACUGGAUCUGCGCGUGUGACGUGGCUUUUAG